CCUACGGGGGGCAGCAGUGGGGAAUAUUGCACAAUGGGGGAAACCCUGAUGCAGCGACGCCGCGUGAGUGAAGAAGUAAUUCGUUACGUAAAGCUCUAUCAGCAGGGAAGAAACACUGACCUUACGGUCAGCAGACGGUACCUGAGUAAGAAGCCCCGGCUAACUCCGUGCCAGCAGCCGCGGUAAUACGGAGGAUGCGAGCGUUAUCCGGAUUUAUUGGGGGUAAGGGGUGCGUAGGGGGACUGUUAGGGCAGCGGGAAAAGCCCGGGGCUCAACCCCGGCGAGCCGUUGAAACUGGCUGUCUUGAGAUGUCGAGAGGUAUGCGGAAUGCGCAGUGUAGCGGUGAAAUGCUUAGAUAUUGCGCAGAACUCCGAUUGCGAAGGCAGCAUACCGGCGGCGAUCUGACGCUGAGGCACGAAAGCGUGGGUAUCGAACAGGAUUAGAUACCCGAGUAGUC
RNAcentral lists this ribosomal RNA (457 nucleotides) under uncultured bacterium. Its description in RNAcentral is "partial 16S ribosomal RNA". It matches the Rfam family "Bacterial small subunit ribosomal RNA", at positions 338 to 795 of the family's 1533-position model. The record is from RNAcentral.